UCCUAGUUAACCUAGGCAGUCCCACUAGAGUUCCCAUCAUUACAUGUUGGCAACUAGUGGCAAGGGUUGCGCUCGUUGCGGGACUUAACCCAACACCUCACGGCACGAGCUGACGACGGCCAUGCAGCACCUGUGUAACGGCCCUUGCGGGAGAGUGCGUUUCCGCACCUGUCCAUUACAUGUCAAGCCUUGGUAAGGUUCUUCGCGUACCAUCGAAUUAAACCACAUGCUCCACUGCUUGUGCGAGCCCCCGUCAAUUCUUUUGAGUUUCAUACUUGCGUAUGUACUCCCCAGGCGGUGUACUUAUCGCGUUAGCUACGAUACGAACCGGGUUGAGCCGAUCCACAUCAAGUACACAUCGUUUACGGCAUGGACUAC
This 378-nucleotide unclassified non-coding RNA is filed under the name uncultured bacterium. RNAcentral's name for it is "contains 16S-23S intergenic spacer region". The record is from RNAcentral.